UACGUAGGGUGCAAGCGUUGUCCGGAAUUAUUGGGCGUAAAGAGCUCGUAGGCGGUUUGUCGCGUCUGCUGUGAAAACCGGAGGCUCAACCUCCGGCCUGCAGUGGGUACGGGCAGACUAGAGUGCGGUAGGGGAGAUUGGAAUUCCUGGUGUAGCGGUGGAAUGCGCAGAUAUCAGGAGGAACACCGAUGGCGAAGGCAGAUCUCUGGGCCGUAACUGACGCUGAGGAGCGAAAGCAUGGGGAGCGAACAGG
This 253-nucleotide ribosomal RNA is filed under the name uncultured bacterium. RNAcentral describes it as "partial 16S ribosomal RNA". It matches the Rfam family "Bacterial small subunit ribosomal RNA", at positions 524 to 776 of the family's 1533-position model. The record is from RNAcentral.